RNA transcript from Musa acuminata AAA Group (dessert banana), 2036 nucleotides. It is a transcript of the gene named leucine-rich repeat receptor-like protein FASCIATED EAR2, with no coding region annotated. NCBI's taxonomy places the organism in Eukaryota, Viridiplantae, Streptophyta, Magnoliopsida, Zingiberales, Musaceae. The transcript has 2 exons. The record is from RefSeq and is a predicted model, not a curated record.
ACCAAUAAUACAAAAAAAAAAAAGGAUGAUGCUUCUUCGCCUCUACCGUGGGAUGAGCGGCUUGUUGGGGUGCCGGCAUUGAUUUCUUCUUCCUCCCCAAGCCAACAUCAAUUACCACAGUAGAAGAAAAAGAAGGAAGAAGAAGAAGAACAAAGAGCUAAAGAAGCCACCCGCUCCAGGUUAAGCUUCUCCCCCAAGUCUUCUUCCUUCCUCCUCUCUCUUCGCUCUUUCUCUCUCUCUCUCGCUCUCUAUCAUUCUCUGUCCCUUUACAGAUCCGCCAUUAAAGCGCUCACGCCCCUUCCCCACGAGAAAGCAAGCGAGGAGCAACCAACCAAGCAAAGCUGUAGUCCGCCUUGACCUUUCACGCACAUCCACGACCACAUCCCUCUUCUUUAUUAGUCCCCUUCCGCGCUCUGCUUCAAGAACCAAAGAAAGAAAGAGAGCAGAGCAGACCGGAGCAAAGUAGAUGAUGAUGGCGAUGAUGGUGGAGCGAUGCUGCUGCGUUCGAACUCACCGUUUCUUGGCUUUGUUCUUGCUGCCACUGGGGUUCGCAUUGUUGGCGUCUUCCAGGGACGUGGUGGGAAUUCUGGACCCGGUGGACUUCCUGGCGCUUCAGGCUAUACGCAAGGGCCUCGAAGACAUGCCUGGCUCCGAUUUCUUCUCCGACUGGGACUUCACGGCCGACCCCUGUGCUUUUCCGGGCGUGUUCUGCGCUGGGGACCGCGUCAUGGCCCUCGCCCUGGGCGACCCCCGUGCCGGCUACCCCGGCCUCCAGGGCAGCCUCGACCCCGCCCUCGGCCGCCUCUCCGCCCUCGCCGAACUCUCCCUCGUUCCCGGCCGCGUCACGGGCCCGGUCCCCGACGAGCUCGCCGGAUGCCCCGACCUCCGCUUUCUCGCUCUCAGCAAGAACCUGCUCUCCGGCCCCAUCCCUGCCGGCCUCGGCGCCCUCCCCCGCCUCCGCACCCUCGAUCUUAGCUACAACCAGCUCUCCGGUCCCCUCCCCGCCUCCCUCACCGCCGCUCCGACCCUUUCCAACCUCAUCCUCUGCCAUAAUCAGCUCUCGGGCACCCUCCCGCCUUUCCCGGACGCCGCCUCCCUCCUCCGCCUCGACCUCAAGCACAACCAGCUCUCCGGCCCCGUGCCGUCGUUGCCGCCAUCCCUGCAGUAUCUCGCCCUCAGCCACAACACCCUCACCGGCCCCGUGGACACCGUGCUUCCGCGCCUCACCCGGCUCAUCUUCCUGGACCUCAGCUCCAACCUGCUCGAGGGUCCCAUCCCCGGGUCCGUGUUCGAGUUCCCGCUCGCGGCGCUCCAGCUGCAGCGCAACGCCUUCUCCGGGAAAGUGGAGCCGCCGCAGGAGGACGUGGUCAUCCCGGUGGUGGACCUGAGCUACAACCGGCUGUGGGGGGCCGUGCCGCCGCAGCUGGCCGCCGUGGGUCGGCUCUACCUCAACAACAACCGGUUCUCCGGGGAGGUGCCGAGCCGCCUGGUGCAGGGGCUCAGCAACGGGAUGCAACUGCUCUACCUCCAGCACAACUUCCUGACGGGUAUCGAGAUAGGGCCCGCGGCUGCAGCCAUCCCCGUCGGUGCGUCGCUGUGCCUGCAGUACAAUUGCAUGGUGCCGCCGUUCGACACGCCCUGCCCACUCAAGGCCGGCACACAGAAGAUGCGCCCCGUCUAUCAGUGCCCCGACUGGAGAGGCUGAUCGCCCACAGCCGCCACUGCCGGAGUGGGCCAAAGAAUCAACCAGGGGAGGGAUCAAAAGAAACAAAGGGAGGAAGGAGGAAGAAGAGUUGCUGAUAUAUAUUUGAACAGUGGGUGGUAAUUUUGGGAUGGUUUCUGCUGCUUGAUCAAGCUGUUGUUUUGAUUGGUUAUUUGUCUUCUUAGUUGGUGUGUGCAUAAGGUAUGAAAUUAAGUUGUCAUGUAGAGAGAGAACUUAUAUUGCUGUUGCAUGAUUUCAUGGGUCUCUUGAAGUACAUGAUAUCUGUUUUAUAUUCUAUCCAGAAUUUAUAGUUAUUCCUUGUUUGGCUUAGGGA